RNAcentral lists this ribosomal RNA (120 nucleotides) under Acipenser ruthenus (sterlet). The record is from RNAcentral. Lineage: Eukaryota; Metazoa; Chordata; Actinopteri; Acipenseriformes; Acipenseridae.
GCCUGCGGCCACACCACCUUGAAAAGCCUGAUCUCGUCUGAUCUCAGAAACUAAGCAAUGUUGGGCUUGGUUAGUACUUGGAUGGGAGACCACCUGGGAAUAUCAAGUGCUGUAGGCAUU